GCACCUACACCUAUUUCUUCCUCAAAAGGUGUACCAAGCGGUACCGGAGGGGAAGACACACGGGCAUAUCUACUACUUGAACUACCUCUACCGCUAGUAAUUCGCUUUUUACUACCACUACCGCUUCCGGGACAAAAAAUUUUAACACCUUUAGUAGCGAGGUUUCUUAAUUUAUCCAUAAUAUAAAUUAAAUUAAACUAAAAAUAUUUAAAAUACACAAAUAUAAUAAAAUUAAAUAUUAAACAAUUAAUACAAUAAAUAAAAAUUAAACGUAAGAGAUGGAA
Molecule: long non-coding RNA, 284 nt
Filed under: Capsicum annuum
Lineage: Eukaryota; Viridiplantae; Streptophyta; Magnoliopsida; Solanales; Solanaceae
Description: long non-coding RNA (CANN_LNC003575)
Source: RNAcentral